GCCGGGAUCGCCUAGUGGUACAGUAAUGCACUAAAGGGCGGCAGCCUGCUAAGCUGUUUGGCUAUAAAAGGCCUCCGCGGGUUCGAUUCCCGCUCCCGGCG
This 101-nucleotide transfer RNA is filed under the name Candidatus Micrarchaeum sp. RNAcentral's name for it is "tRNA-Ser". It matches the Rfam family "tRNA". Rfam says of the family: Transfer RNA (tRNA) molecules are approximately 80 nucleotides in length. Their secondary structure includes four short double-helical elements and three loops (D, anti-codon, and T loops). The record is from RNAcentral. Lineage: Archaea; Nanobdellati; Microcaldota; Candidatus Micrarchaeia; Candidatus Micrarchaeales; Candidatus Micrarchaeaceae.